This 318-nucleotide small nucleolar RNA is filed under the name Strigops habroptila (Kakapo). RNAcentral describes it as "Small Cajal body-specific RNA 7 (ENSSHBG00005013070.1)". It matches the Rfam family "Small Cajal body-specific RNA 7". The record is from Rfam by way of RNAcentral. Lineage: Eukaryota; Metazoa; Chordata; Aves; Psittaciformes; Psittacidae.
UGGAAGUGAUGAAAUAGAGAUAAUCGGAUGUCUCUUUGAACGGAGAGUGUGUGUGAUAAAUGGAAUUUAAUCCAGGUCAGGCUGGGGGUGGGGUGUGGGGAAUACGUGUGUGUGUGCAUGUGUAGAAAAGGCUUUAAAUGGGGGCACUGAUUGCUGUGCUGAUUCCGGAGUGCAUCUGAGGCAUGUUGUUAAGAUCUGGGGUGCCAAUUCACAACAUUGCCGAUGAUUAAAGCCCAAAACAAGCCCACCAAGACAAGCCUAGGCAUCCUAAAUCUCUAACAGGUUCAUUAAUGAAAGUGAUCCUGUGAUCUGAUCUGA